This 497-nucleotide ribosomal RNA is filed under the name uncultured bacterium. Its description in RNAcentral is "partial 16S ribosomal RNA". It matches the Rfam family "Bacterial small subunit ribosomal RNA", at positions 28 to 507 of the family's 1533-position model. The record is from RNAcentral.
GAUGAACGCUGGCGGCGUGCCUAAUACAUGCAAGUCGAGCGGACAGACGAGGAUCUUGCUCCUCUGACGUUAGCCGCGGGCGGGUGAGUAACACGUGGAUAACCUACCUAUAAUACUGGUAUAACUUCGGGAAACCGGAUAUUAUACGGGAGAAUAUAUUGAACCGCAUGGGUCAAUGGUAAGAGACGGCUUUUGGGUCUGUUAUAGAGGGAUCCCAGCCGCAUGAGCUAGUUGUUAAGGUAACGGCUUACCAAGGCAACGAGGCGUAGACGAGCUGAGAGAGGGAUCGCCCACCUUGGAAGGUGAACAGGGACCAGAGUCCUAAGGGAGGCAGCAGUCGGGAAUCGUCCGCAAUGGGCGAAAGCUUGACGGAGCAACCGGGCGUGAGAGACGACGGCCUUCGGAUCGUAAAGAUCUGUUAUUAGGGAAGAACCAAUGUGUAAGUAACUAUGGACGUCUUGACGGUAACGAAUAAGAAAGCAACGGCUAACUACGUG